This 426-nucleotide ribosomal RNA is filed under the name uncultured Ascomycota. RNAcentral describes it as "eukaryotic LSU rRNA". The stretch from base 73 to 225 matches the Rfam family "5.8S ribosomal RNA". The record is from RNAcentral. Lineage: Eukaryota; Fungi; Ascomycota.
UGCUUCGGCGCCUCGGCGUCGAGUUUAUGCUGCAGUUGGUAGUUUGCGUCUGAAUCAAACCGAAGAACAUAAAACUUUCAACAGAGGAUCUCUUGGCUCUUGUAUCGAUGAAGAACGCAGCAAAGCGCGAAAUGUAGUGAACAUAGCAGCACAAUUGUGAAUCAUCGAAUCUUUGAACGCACAUUGCGCCUCCGGUAGCUCGGAGGCAUGCCUGUCUGAGCGUCAUUUAAAACCAUGGACCCAGGAUUGGGUCCGUAUUGGGCGUCGCCCCCCUCUCCAGAGUGGCGCGUGGCCUCAAAGACAUUGGUCUCACAUGCGGACGAGCUCCCCUGGGACAGACCGCGUGGAGACCCUAAGCAUCUGACUUUGAUCUCAGAUCAGGUAGGACUACCGCCUGAACUUAAGCAUAUCACAAUAAGCGGAGGA